This 562-nucleotide ribosomal RNA is filed under the name Nectophrynoides viviparus (Morogoro tree toad). Its description in RNAcentral is "partial 16S ribosomal RNA". It matches the Rfam family "Bacterial large subunit ribosomal RNA", at positions 1831 to 2600 of the family's 2925-position model. Lineage: Eukaryota; Metazoa; Chordata; Amphibia; Anura; Bufonidae. The record is from RNAcentral.
CGCCUCUCGAACAUUAUAAGAGGUCCAGCCUGCCCAAUGACUCUGUUUAACGGCCGCGGUAUCCUAACCGUGCGAAGGUAGCGUAAUCACUUGUUCUCUAAAUGAGGACCAGUAUGAACGGCAUCACGAGGGUUAUACUGUCUCCUCUUUCUAAUCAGUGAAACUAACCUCCCCGUGAAGAGGCGGGGAUAAAACUAUAAGACGAGAAGACCCUAUGGAGCUUUAAACAAUAUAGCACUUGCCAUAUAAUAUAAAAAAUUCCCGAAUCCCUUAUUCCAGGGUAAUAUGACUAUAAGUUUUUGGUUGGGGUGACCGCGGAGCAAAACUUAACCUCCAUGUUGAAAAUUUUUAAGCUAAGAAUCACCCUUCUAAGCAUCAAUAUAUUGACACCAAUUGACCCAAUACAUUUGAACAACGAACCAAGUUACCCUAGGGAUAACAGCGCAAUCCACUUCAAGAGCUCCUAUCGACAGGUGGGUUUACGACCUCGAUGUUGGAUCAGGGUCUCCCAGUGGUGCAGCCGCUACUAAAGGUUCGUUUGUUCAACGAUCAAAACCCUACG